RNAcentral lists this microRNA (20 nucleotides) under Physcomitrium patens. RNAcentral's name for it is "ppt-miR893". Its record names the gene ppt-miR893. The record is from miRBase by way of RNAcentral. Lineage: Eukaryota; Viridiplantae; Streptophyta; Bryopsida; Funariales; Funariaceae. RNAcentral also lists the same sequence under 1 other name.
AUUGGGACUUGUGCUGGGAC